This 2558-nucleotide long non-coding RNA is filed under the name Capsella rubella. RNAcentral's name for it is "long non-coding RNA (CRUB_LNC001320)". Lineage: Eukaryota; Viridiplantae; Streptophyta; Magnoliopsida; Brassicales; Brassicaceae. The record is from RNAcentral.
GGGAAUUUUAAAAAAAAUCCAAAAUCCUCUAGAAUUCUACUUUCAAUACACCCCUCUAAAUAAAAAGUAUGGGAGACAGUUUGACUCAACGAGAGAGUGGGCAGCUACUAACUCCACACCACACUCUUGCAUUAUUUUUUUGUGUGCUUCUUCUUGAUAUUCUUUACAGUAUUUCUAUAGCACGGUAUGGUUGUAACCCGAGAGCUUCAAUACUGAACCACUUGGUCCUUAAACAUCACACAAACUAUUAACACCAGCUAGAUUUAGAGCAAUGAUUCAAAACAAACCUAUAUGUCUAUCGAUUCACAAGAGAUUCUCAUUUCCUGACCCUUAAAGUUUAAGCUUAGUUAGGAAGAGAUGAUAACCAACAGGAUUGAUAUGCAAAAACUAAUUCACACGAUAACAUAUUUCAAGAUAAUAACAAAGUUAUCCCUUUGAAUGUGUUGUUUCAAAGGAAUAAAUUAGAGCAUAUGCUUGAAAUGGCUUAGCUUAAGCUUAGUUAUAUGAUAAGAAGAAGAUUCCACUCUUCAUCAAUCCUGUAUUGAGUCCAGUCAGAUGUGGCAAAUCCAAAUAACACAAAUAGCAUCAACACAUGAAAUAUGCUAAUCUAUGCCUUUGGCUAUUUCAGCGAUGCAACUCACCAUAUAAGAUGCUUUGAUUGAGUUCUGGUUAGUGCGUUAGUAAAGAAGGUCAGUAAGCUCAAUUCCAGGUUCUAGCAUAUAGUUAAAUGCUUGUGAAGCAAAAUGGGAGACACGUCUAUUAGAGAGCACAACAUAAACCUUCUGUCUGCCACAAUUAACACGAAUCAAGUUCUUGGGUACAAAAUGUAGAGAAGAAGUAAAUUAUACCUUAGAAAUGUUCUCUGUCCAUAUCAUAUGCAAACACAGACAAAAGGAGGUUAGACUGGUGAAGCUGAUGCAUUUGUGAUCAAAGAAUAGAUAAGCCAACAAGUGAUUUUGCCAAUCUUUAGUUUCAAGUCUAGCCACUGAAUCCACCAUGCUAGAGAAAUGCGUAAGUUGAUAUGUAUAUUACUGACCACAUACACAUCAAUCUCACAUGACACACAUAAAAAAUGGAAGCAAACAGAGCUAUUGAUAUAAAUAUAUGCUCUUCGAUCAUCGAGCUAGAAUUCUCCAGUUAAGCUGACUAGUAAUUCUACAUGCAUACAAAAUUGAUUUUACCUGAUUCUACACUUCCAAAGUUGUAACUAGAUACUUGAACUUUCUUCUUACUUGAUACUAAUAUCAACUUAUAGCAAAAGUUGGAAACACACAAAACCAGGUUGUUAUUAAAGCUUUAUAGCGAGACUGUUUUCUCGUGUAUGUCUUUUGGUGAAGCCAAUGUGCAAAUCCAAGAAAAAAAGAUGAGGCCAGCUUACGUGGUAUUGCACAAGAAAUAUUAGAGAAGGUAAUUAACAACACUUUUGCUAACAUAGUAUUGUUUCUAGAUUAACCUAAACGCUUACAAAUGCUCUAAUAUAAUCAUAGUAAUAACAUUUUUCAGUUCACCGAUCUAUCUAUGAUCAAGUAAGACAACAUAGUAGCCUAUCACAUUAGAUGGAGCAUCAGUUAUAUAUAUGGGAGUUCAAUCCCUAGUUACGAAAACAAGAUACUACAAAUCAAAACAAGAUAUAAUUUAGAAUCUUUCAGACGGUUUAGGCACAUAAUCAUCUCUCUAUCUCUCUCACAAAGUAUGAAAUGCUUUUUCAAACUCAUCGAUUAAACUACUUCAAGCACAUGAAGAACUACAGAAACAACACAGUAAUCACAAUAACCUACACCAGCAUAGAAAAACCUGGGGUAACACCUAGACUGUGAUGUAAACCAAAAAUCUAUGCUGUCUCUACUUGUUAUCUGUUUUGUGACUUCAUAGAAUGAUUUCAACAGAGAGAACAUUAGACACUAAUGUAAUAAAGCAAAUCUAAAAUUUAAUUUUAGCAGACACAACACAAAGGCUAAGUGGACUUAAAUGUUUCGUUUGACCUCAUGAUAAUCAUUGCAAUUUUAACCACAGAUUGCAAAGGACUCGCUAUUGACAAAAACUGAUUCCAAGACAUUAAGUAUAAGCUUAGACAACAAAGAUAAAAUCAUGAGUUGUCAUCAAUUAUGCAACUUGAGAUCAACCAUUUUGAGUAGGAAAAAGAUAACUGUUUCAGCAUUUGUUCAUCUCCACUGUUAUCUAGUUCACGACUUCAUUUGUGGAUCUCAAGGUGAAGCACAUUCAACACCAGUACCAAGAGACCUGUUCACAAUUGGAUUUCUUCAAACACAACACAAAGACGUUACUUACUUGAAUGGUUGACACUUGACACAUGGCACACUUGACUUAUUCAAGGAACAUCAUAAAGCCAACAUUCUAAAAGAGCCCCAAAAAGACACCAACUCAUUCCUUUGCUUGAACCCAAUAUAAUGCAUAUAGUAAUCAAAACAUACUAAGCAAAAUCACUGCAAAACUAGGCUUCUAAAUGCAAAGUAACUGUUUUAAUUAUUAAAAAAAAAGACUAAUAACAGACAUAAACAUCAAGCUUGGCCAACACAAGAAAAAAAAAAAGAUCAAAC